GCCUGGCCUUAAAUCUUGAUGCUUCNAUUACCUAAGCAUCCGCCCGGGAACUACGAGCACAAACGCUUAAAACCCUAAGGACCUGGCGGUGUCCCAAACCCACCUAGAGGAGCCUGUUCUGUAAUSGAUGAUCCACGAUAUAACCUGACCACUUCUUGCCAGUAACAGCCUACAUACCGCCGUCGCCAGCUCACCUUAACUGAAAGCCCAACAGUGGACGCAAUAGCCCNAACCACGCUAAWAAGACAGGUCAAGGUAUAGCCCAUGGAGUGA
RNAcentral lists this ribosomal RNA (273 nucleotides) under Moho braccatus. RNAcentral's name for it is "partial 12S ribosomal RNA". Lineage: Eukaryota; Metazoa; Chordata; Aves; Passeriformes; Mohoidae. The record is from RNAcentral.